GACGAACGCUGGCGGCGUGCUUAACACAUGCAAGUCGAACGGUAAGGCCCUUCGGGGUACACGAGUGGCGAACGGGUGAGUAACACGUGGGUGAUCUGCCCUGCACUUCGGGAUAAGCCUGGGAAACUGGGUCUAAUACCGGAUAGGACCCUGGGAUGCAUGUCCUGGGGUGGAAAGCUUUUGCGGUGUGGGAUGGGCGCGCGGCCUAUCAGCUUGUUGGUGGGGUGAUGGCCGACCAAGGCGACGACGGGUAGCCGGCCUGAGAGGGUGACCGGCCACACUGGAGCUGGGAUCCGGCCCGGACUGCGACGGGAGGCAGCAGUGGGGAAUAUUGGACAAUGGGCGCAAGCCUGAUGCAGCGACGCCGCGUGAGGGAUGACGGCCUUCGGGUUGUAAACCUCUUUCAGCACCGACGAAGCGCAAGUGACGGUAGGUGCAGAAGAAGGACCGGCCAACUACGUGCCAGCCGCCGCGGUAA
This 478-nucleotide ribosomal RNA is filed under the name uncultured bacterium. RNAcentral's name for it is "partial 16S ribosomal RNA". It matches the Rfam family "Bacterial small subunit ribosomal RNA", at positions 28 to 523 of the family's 1533-position model. The record is from RNAcentral.